RNAcentral lists this ribosomal RNA (414 nucleotides) under uncultured microorganism. RNAcentral's name for it is "bacterial SSU rRNA". It matches the Rfam family "Archaeal small subunit ribosomal RNA", at positions 459 to 872 of the family's 1478-position model. The record is from RNAcentral.
CAGCAGCCGCGGUAAUACCGGCGGCCCGAGUGGCGGUCACUAUUAUUGGGCUUAAAGCGUCCGUAGCCGGGUUGGGAAGUCCUCCGGGAAAUCUGGCCGCUUAACGGUCAGAAUGCCGGAGGAUACUCCCAGCCUAGGGAGCGGGAGAGGCCGAGGGUAUUCCCGGAGUAGGGGGGAAAUCCUAUAAUCCCGGGAGGACCACCUGUGGCGAAGGCGCUCGGCUGGAACGCGUCCGACGGUGAGGGACGAAGGCCAGGGGAGCAAACCGGAUUAGAUACCCGGGUAGUCCUGGCGGUAAACGAUGCGGACUUUGUGUCGGACAAGCUAUGAGCUUGUCCGGUGCCGGAGGGAAACCGUUAAGUCCGCCGCCUGGGGAGUACGGCCGCAAGGCUGAAACUUAAAGGAAUUGGCGGG